AGGAAGUAAAAGUCGUAACAAGGUUUAGAAUGAGAUCCUUCCAUGGGUGACGCUCACGAGAAGCCUUUGUGGCCCCGCAAGGGGUAUCCGCCGCGACUGUAAAGAAGGAGGCUGGAUAUUAAAUCGCAAGUCGGACCUGUACAAGCCAGUCCGGCCACACUUUCGAAUUGCGGGGACACCCUUAAGCUCUCCUCUACCAAGCCGGUUGGGAAACCAGGUCGGUGGCCUGUGCUAACAGCACGGGGUACGGUAAGAAUGAGGUGAGAUUGGACAAUCCGCAGCCAAGUCCCUAAGGCGCUUAGCUAGGGGAAAGGUUCACAGACUAAGUGGAAGUGGGCCGAAGCAUGCCUUCGGCUUAAGAUAUAGUCGGGCCUCUCGGGAAACCUUGAGGGAGUCGCUCUGACCGAGUAACAGUAACUGUUCCGUAGGUGAACCUGCGGAAGGAUCAUUAACAAUGAUAACCUCUUUGGUUGGGUUAACGCCCUCCAAAGUUUAAACCACUUGUGAAACACAGAACUUUGCUUCGGCAGCAGGUCUGGGGCUUACGCUUCUGCACCGUCAGCCUGCCGGCAGCACCCAAUCAAACCUGUUUUUAAACCUGUCUGAAUGGAAUCAUUUUCGAAUGAAAAUUAAAACUUUCAACAACGGAUCUCUUGGUUCUCGCAUCGAUGAAGAACGCAGCGAAACGCGAUAGUUAAUGUGAAUUGCAGAAUUCAGUGAAUCAUCGAGUCUUUGAACGCACAUUGCGCCCAUUGGUAUUCCGAUGGGCACGUCUGUUUGAGCGUCAUUACAAACCUUCGGUUGAGACUUUUGUCCCUAACCGGUGCUGAGCUGGGCCUGACCUGUCAAAAGGUGGCCCGCUUUAAAUCGUACGCUCUGCGGGUGACCCAACCUGAACGAACAUAGUAGAUUUUUUUCAACUGUUCAACUAAGCGAAGGUCAGCUCCGCCUGAACAAACCCUUACAAGAGUUUGACCUCAGAUCAGACGAGGAUACCCGCUGAACUUAAGCAUAUCAAUAAGCGGAGGAAAAGAAACCAACCGGGAUUGCCUCAGUAACGGCGAGUGAAGCGGCAACAGCUCAAAUUUGAAAUCUGAGGUCUGCGAUCUCCGAGUUGUAAUUUGAAGAGGAUGCUUCGGUUGCGGCCCCGGCCUAAGUUCCUUGGAACAGGACGUCGCAGAGGGUGAGAAUCCCGUACGCGGCUGGCGGCUUGCUUCCAUGUGUAGCUCCUUCGAAGAGUCGAGUUGUUUGGGAAUGCAGCUCAAAAUGGGUGGUAAAUUUCAUCUAAAGCUAAAUACUGGCGAGAGACCGAUAGCGCACAAGUAGAGUGAUCGAAAGAUGAAAAGCACUUUGAAAAGAGAGUUAAACAGUACGUGAAAUUGUUGAAAGGGAAGCGCUUGCAAUCAGACUUGCAUUUGGUUGAUCAACGUUCCUUCUGGUUCGUGCACUCUGCCUUCUGCAGGCCAGCAUCGGUUGGAGCGGCGGGACAAAGGCUCCGGGAAUGUGGCUCUCUUCGGGGAGUGUUAUAGCCCGGUGUGUAAUGCCGUCAGCACCGACCGAGGUCCGCGCGCAAGCUAGGAUGCUGGCUUAAUGGUUGUAAGCGACCCGUCUUGAAACACGGACCAAGGAGUCUAACAUCUAUGCGAGUGUUUGGGUGUCAAACCCAUGCGCGUAAUGAAAGUGAACGGAGGUGGGAGUCUUCUGACGCACCAUCGACCGAUCCUGAUGUUCUCGGAUGGAUUUGAGUAGGAGCAUAGCUGUUGGGACCCGAAAGAUGGUGAACUAUGCCUGAAUAGGGUGAAGCCAGAGGAAACUCUGGUGGAGGCUCGCAGCGGUUCUGACGUGCAAAUCGAUCGUCAAAUUUGGGUAUAGGGGCGAAAGACUAAUCGAACCAUCUAGUAGCUGGUUCCUGCCGAA
Molecule: ribosomal RNA, 1917 nt
Filed under: Orbilia crenatovinosa
Lineage: Eukaryota; Fungi; Ascomycota; Orbiliomycetes; Orbiliales; Orbiliaceae
Description: eukaryotic LSU rRNA
Rfam family: Eukaryotic large subunit ribosomal RNA (bases 973-1917)
Source: RNAcentral